AGAGUUUGAUCAUGGCUCAGAAUCAACGCUGGCGGCGUGCCUAACACAUGCAAGUCGAACGAGAAAGCGGGGGCAACUCCGCGAGUACAGUGGCGAACGGGUGAGUAACACGUGACUAACCUGCCUUCGAGUGGGGGAUAACCCCGGGAAACCGGGGCUAAUACCGCAUAACAUCGCGAGGUGAAAUUCCUUGUGAUCAAAUGCGCAAGUAGCUUGAAGAGGGGGUCGCGGCUGAUUAGCUAGUUGGUGAGGUAACGGCUCACCAAGGCGACGAUCAGUAGCCGGCCUGAGAGGACGACCAGCCACACUGGGACUGAGACACGGCCCAGACUCCUACGGGAGGCAGCAGUGGGGAAUAUUGGACAAUGGGCGAAAGCCUGAUCCAGCGACGCCGCGUGGGUGAAGAAGGCCUGCGGGUUGUAAAGCCCUUUCGGUGGGGAAGAAAAGCUUCGACCUAAUACGUCGAGGUCUUGACGUAACCCACAGAAGAAGCACCGGCUAACUCUGUGCCAGCAGCCGCGGUAAUAC
Molecule: ribosomal RNA, 528 nt
Filed under: uncultured bacterium
Lineage: Bacteria
Description: bacterial SSU rRNA
Rfam family: Bacterial small subunit ribosomal RNA
Source: RNAcentral